UCUGGUUUAACAUAUAUUAAUGUGAAAGAUUGUAAAUCUUUUUAAAGCAAUGUAGCUU
Molecule: transfer RNA, 58 nt
Filed under: Scalithrium sp. LRP 10409
Lineage: Eukaryota; Metazoa; Platyhelminthes; Cestoda; Rhinebothriidea; Rhinebothriidae
Description: tRNA-Tyr
Source: RNAcentral